GACCGGCGCACGGGUGAGUAACACGUAUCCAACCUGCCGAUGACUCGGGGAUAGCCUUUCGAAAGAAAGAUUAAUACCCGAUGGCAUAGUUCUUCCGCAUGGUAGGACUAUUAAAGAAUUUCGGUCAUCGAUGGGGAUGCGUUCCAUUAGCUUGUUGGCGGGGUAACGGCCCACCAAGGCAUCGAUGGAUAGGGGUUCUGAGAGGAAGGUCCCCCACAUUGGAACUGAGACACGGUCCAAACUCCUACGGGAGGCAGCAGUGAGGAAUAUUGGUCAAUGGGCGCUAGCCUGAACCAGCCAAGUAGCGUGAAGGAUGACUGCCCUAUGGGUUGUAAACUUCUUUUAUAUGGGAAUAAAGUGCAGUAUGUAUACUGCUUUGCAUGUACCUUAUGAAUAAGGAUCGGCUAACUCCGUGCCAGCAGCCGCGGUAAUACGGAGGAUCCGAGCGUUAUCCGGAUUUAUUGGGUUUAAAGGGAGCGUAGGCGGGUUGUUAAGUCAGUUGUGAAAGUUUGCGGCUCAACCGUAAAAUUGCAGUUGAUACUGGCAUCCUUGAGUACAGUAGAGGUAGGCGGAAUUCGUGGUGUAGCGGUGAAAUGCUUAGAUAUCACGAAGAACUCCGAUUGCGAAGGCAGCCUGCUGGACUGUAACUGACGCUGAUGCUCGAAAGUGUGGGUAUCAAACAGGAUUAGAUACCCUGGUAGU
RNAcentral lists this ribosomal RNA (702 nucleotides) under uncultured bacterium. RNAcentral describes it as "bacterial SSU rRNA". It matches the Rfam family "Bacterial small subunit ribosomal RNA", at positions 93 to 794 of the family's 1533-position model. The record is from RNAcentral.